GACAGCAGUCGCCGCGGGAAUACGAAGGGGGCUAGCGUUGUUCGGAAUUACUGGGCGUAAAGCGCACGUAGGCGGAUAUUUAAGUCAGGGGUGAAAUCCCAGAGCUCAACUCUGGAACUGCCUUUGAUACUGGGUAUCUUGAGUAUGGAAGAGGUGAGUGGAAUUCCGAGUGUAGAGGUGAAAUUCGUAGAUAUUCGGAGGAACACCAGUGGCGAAGGCGGCUCACUGGUCCAUUACUGACGCUGAGGUGCGAAAGCGUGGGGAGCAAACAGGAUUAGAGACCCGUGUAGUCCCUGUCUCUUAUAC
This 306-nucleotide ribosomal RNA is filed under the name uncultured bacterium. RNAcentral's name for it is "partial 16S ribosomal RNA". It matches the Rfam family "Bacterial small subunit ribosomal RNA", at positions 507 to 807 of the family's 1533-position model. The record is from RNAcentral.